RNAcentral lists this ribosomal RNA (253 nucleotides) under uncultured bacterium. RNAcentral's name for it is "partial 16S ribosomal RNA". It matches the Rfam family "Bacterial small subunit ribosomal RNA", at positions 524 to 776 of the family's 1533-position model. The record is from RNAcentral.
GACGUAGGGGGCCAGCGUUGUUCGGAAUUACUGGGUGUAAAGGGUUCGUAGGCGGUGCGGCAAGUUGGGAGUGAAAUCUCUGGGCUUAACCCAGAGGCUGCUUCCAAAACUGCUGUGCUUGAGUGUGGAAGAGGCGCGUGGAAUUGCAGGUGUAGCGGUGAAAUGCGUAGAUAUCUGCAGGAGCACCCGUGGCGAAAGCGGCGCGCUGGACCACUACUGACGCUGAGGAACGAAAGCUAGGGGAGCAAACAGG